AAGACUGUCGCCGGCCAGGCCAGCCGCCUCGAGGGCGAGGUCCGCAUCAUUCAAGACGAUCUCUCCACCGCAAACAUCGUCUCUAUGGAGCAGGAGGAAAUGGUCCGCCGCCUCGAGGGCGAGCUCCGCAUCGCACAAGACGGCCUCUCCACUGCGCACAUCGCUGCUAUGGAGCAGGAGGAAAAGGUCCGCCGCCUCGUGGGUGAGCUCCGCAUCGCACAAGACGACCUCUCCACUGCGCACAGCGCCGCUGUGGAGCAGGAGGAAAAGGUCCGCCGCCUCGAAAGUGAGCUCCGCAUCACACAAGACGACCUCUCUACUGCAAACAUUGCCGCUACUGAGCAUGAGGAAAAUGUCCGCCGCCUCAAUAACUCCAUCAAGG
This 382-nucleotide long non-coding RNA is filed under the name Musa acuminata (dwarf banana). RNAcentral describes it as "long non-coding RNA (MACU_LNC001608)". Lineage: Eukaryota; Viridiplantae; Streptophyta; Magnoliopsida; Zingiberales; Musaceae. The record is from RNAcentral.